CUUCACUGCUCUAUCAUGAGUUUGUAAGCUGAUAGUCCCAAUGUCCUUGAUCGCACAGCUCGAUCCAUUCGAUAAAUAAACAGUGACCUCACUGCUCUCUAAGAAGUCAAACAGCUCCUCUCUACAAUAUACAUUAUGCAAACAUGAAGAAUCUAAAAUCUACUAUGGAAAAAAAGUAGAUACCUCAUCAAAUACUAGAAGAACAUCAUUACUUUCUUCUAUAUCACUAUCUCAGACCAUCGUCGCCUC
RNAcentral lists this long non-coding RNA (249 nucleotides) under Elaeis guineensis (African oil palm). RNAcentral's name for it is "long non-coding RNA (EGUI_LNC014018)". Lineage: Eukaryota; Viridiplantae; Streptophyta; Magnoliopsida; Arecales; Arecaceae. The record is from RNAcentral.